RNAcentral lists this ribosomal RNA (253 nucleotides) under uncultured bacterium. Its description in RNAcentral is "partial 16S ribosomal RNA". It matches the Rfam family "Bacterial small subunit ribosomal RNA", at positions 524 to 776 of the family's 1533-position model. The record is from RNAcentral.
UACGAAGGGGGCUAGCGUUAAUCGGAAUUACUGGGCGUAAAGCGUGCGCAGGCGGUUAUGUAAGACAGGUGUGAAAUCCCCGGGCUUAACCUGGGAACUGCAUUUGUGACUGCAUAGCUAGAGUACGGUAGAGGGGGAUGGAAUUCCGCGUGUAGCAGUGAAAUGCGUAGAUAUGCGGAGGAACACCGAUGGCGAAGGCAAUCCCCUGGACCUGUACUGACGCUCAUGCACGAAAGCGUGGGGAGCAAACAGG